GAUGAACGCUGGCGGCGUGCCUAAACAUGCAAGUCGUGCGGCAGCAUGCCCUUCGGGGUGAUGGCGAGCGGCGGACGGGUGAGUAACGCGUAGGAAUGUACCCCAAAGUGAGGGAUAAGCACCGGAAACGGUGUCUAAUACCGCAUAUGCUCUUCGGAGUAAAGCUUUCGAGCGCUAUGGGAACAGCCUGCGUCCGAUUAGCUAGUUGGUGAGGUAAAGGCUCACCAAGGCGACGAUCGGUAGCUGGUUUGAGAGGAUGAUCAGCCACACUGGAACUGAGACACGGUCCAGACUCCUACGGGAGGCAGCAGUUAGGAAUCUUCCACAAUGGGCGAAAGCCUGAUGGAGCAACGCCGCGUGCAGGAUGAAGGCCUUCGGGUCGUAAACUGCUUUUGUAAGUUGAAGAAUAUGACGGUAACUUACGAAUAAGGAAUCGGCUAACUACGUGCCAGCCGCCGCGGUAAUU
Molecule: ribosomal RNA, 466 nt
Filed under: uncultured bacterium
Lineage: Bacteria
Description: bacterial SSU rRNA
Rfam family: Bacterial small subunit ribosomal RNA
Source: RNAcentral